CCCCAGACUCCUACGGGAGGCAGCAGUUAGGAAUAUUCGUCAAUGGGGGAAACCCUGAACGAGCAAUGCCGCGUGAAGGAUGACGGUCCUCUGGAUUGUAAACUUCUGUUGUUAGGGAAGAACGACCUAAGUAGGAAAUGACUUAGGAGUGACGGUACCUUUCAAGAAAGCCACGGCUAACUACGUGCCAGCAGCCGCGGUAAUACGUAGGUGGCAAGCGUUGUCCGGAUUUACUGGGUGUAAAGGGCGUGCAGCCGGAGAGACAAGUCAGAUGUGAAAUCCACGGGCUCAACCCGUGAACUGCAUUUGAAACUGUUUCCCUUGAGUGUCGGAGAGGUAAUCGGAAUUCCUUGUGUAGCGGAGAAAUGCGUAGAUAUAAGGAAGAACACCAGUGGCGAAGGCGGAUUACUGGACGAUAACUGACGGUGAGGCGCGAAAGCGUGGGGAGCAAACAGGAUUAGAUACCCCAGUAGG
This 474-nucleotide ribosomal RNA is filed under the name uncultured bacterium. RNAcentral describes it as "bacterial SSU rRNA". It matches the Rfam family "Bacterial small subunit ribosomal RNA", at positions 329 to 794 of the family's 1533-position model. The record is from RNAcentral.